AGCAGCCGCGGUAAUUCCAGCUCCAAUAGCGUAUAUUAAAGUUGUUGCAGUUAAAAAGCUCGUAGUUGAAUUUCGGGAUUGACGUGACGGUCGUGCCUUACGGGGUAUGAACUGUUGCUGUUGAUUUCUCACCUUCUGGAGAAACUUGAUGUCCUUAAUUGGGUGUCUUGCGGAUCCAGGACCUUUACCUUGAAAAAAUUAGAGUGUUUAAAGCAGGCAUUUUUGCUCGAAUACAUUAGCAUGGAAUAAUAGAAUAGGACGGCAUGGUUCUAUUUUGUUGGUUUCUAGGAUCACCGUAAUGAUUAAUAGGGAUAGUUGGGGGCAUUAGUAUUCAAUUGUCAGAGGUGAAAUUCUUGGAUUUAUUGAAGACUAACUACUGCGAAAGCAUUUGCCAAGGAUGUUUUCAUUAAUCAAGAACGAAAGUUAGGGGAUCGAAGACGAUCAGAUACCGUCGUAGUCUUAACCAUAAACUAUGCCGACUAGGAAUCAGACGAUGUUAAUUUUUUAAUGACUCGUUUGGCACCUUACG
RNAcentral lists this unclassified non-coding RNA (529 nucleotides) under uncultured Glomeromycotina. RNAcentral describes it as "SSU rRNA". It matches the Rfam family "Eukaryotic small subunit ribosomal RNA", at positions 569 to 1092 of the family's 1831-position model. Lineage: Eukaryota; Fungi; Glomeromycota. The record is from RNAcentral.